This 254-nucleotide ribosomal RNA is filed under the name uncultured bacterium. RNAcentral describes it as "partial 16S ribosomal RNA". It matches the Rfam family "Bacterial small subunit ribosomal RNA", at positions 524 to 776 of the family's 1533-position model. The record is from RNAcentral.
UACGUAGGGGGGCUAGCGUUGUCCGGAAUCAUUGGGCGUAAAGCGCGUGUAGGCGGCCCGGUAAGUCCGCUGUGAAAGUCGGGGGCUCAACCCUCGAAAGCCGGUGGAUACUGUCGGGCUAGAGUACGGAAGAGGCGAGUGGAAUUCCUGGUGUAGCGGUGAAAUGCGCAGAUAUCAGGAGGAACACCUAUUGCGAAGGCAGCUCGCUGGGACGUAACUGACGCUGAGACGCGAAAGCGUGGGGAGCAAACAGG